CUCCGCCCGAAAGUUCACCGAUAUUUCUUCAAUAGAGGAAGCAAAAGUCGUAACAAGGUAGCUGUAGGUGAACCUGCAGCUGGAUCAUUUACCGAUAAGAAAAUAUACAACAACCCAGGUAGAGAGUAGUAGAAUACAUCUACUCGGGGAGGCAUGUUUUUUCCGAUAUGCCUUUCCCACACACACAAACACAGCAAUAUCCUUUCGAGACGUCUCGUGGAGCACGGCCCCAACAACGUGUCGCGAUGGAUGACUUGGUAUUUGGCGGGGUGGGUGCGUGUGUGGAUAACGGCUCACAUAACGUGUCGCGAUGGAUGACUUGC
RNAcentral lists this ribosomal RNA (323 nucleotides) under uncultured Leishmania. RNAcentral describes it as "partial 18S ribosomal RNA". The stretch from base 1 to 90 matches the Rfam family "Eukaryotic small subunit ribosomal RNA", at positions 1742 to 1831 of the family's 1831-position model. The record is from RNAcentral. Lineage: Eukaryota; Euglenozoa; Kinetoplastea; Trypanosomatida; Trypanosomatidae.